CCUACGGGAGGCAGCAGUGGGGAAUUUUGGACAAUGGGCGCAAGCCUGAUCCAGCAAUGCCGCGUGAGUGAAGAAGGCCUUCGGGUUGUAAAGCUCUUUUGUCAGGGAAGAAACGGCUGAGGCUAAUAUCCUCGGCUAAUGACGGUACCUGAAGAAUAAGCACCGGCUAACUACGUGCCAGCAGCCGCGGUAAUACGUAGGGUGCAAGCGUUAAUCGGAAUUACUGGGCGUAAAGCGUGCGCAGGCGGUUUUGUAAGUCUGUCGUGAAAGCCCCGGGCUUAACCUGGGAAUUGCGAUGGAGACUGCAAGGCUUGAAUCUGGCAGAGGGGGGUAGAAUUCCACGUGUAGCAGUGAAAUGCGUAGAGAUGUGGAGGAACACCGAUGGCGAAGGCAGCCCCCUGGGUCAAGAUUGACGCUCAUGCACGAAAGCGUGGGGAGCAAACAGGAUUAGAUACCCUGGUAGUCCACGCCCUAAACGAUGUCUACUAGUUGUCGGGUCUUAAUUGACUUGGUAACGCAGCUAACGCGUGAAGUAGACCGCCUGGGGAGUACGGUCGCAGAUUAAAACUCAAAUGAAUUGACGGCUGAGAGNGCGAGACGACGACGAGGGAGGAGG
This 616-nucleotide ribosomal RNA is filed under the name uncultured bacterium. RNAcentral's name for it is "bacterial SSU rRNA". It matches the Rfam family "Bacterial small subunit ribosomal RNA", at positions 338 to 948 of the family's 1533-position model. The record is from RNAcentral.